RNAcentral lists this ribosomal RNA (756 nucleotides) under uncultured bacterium. RNAcentral's name for it is "bacterial SSU rRNA". It matches the Rfam family "Bacterial small subunit ribosomal RNA", at positions 8 to 796 of the family's 1533-position model. The record is from RNAcentral.
AGAGUUUGAUCAUGGCUCAGAAUCAACGCUGGCGGCGUGCCUAACACAUGCAAGUCGAACGAGAAAGUGGAGCAAUCCAUGAGUAAAGUGGCGCACGGGUGAGUAACACGUGACUAACCUACCCUUGAGUGGGGAAUAACUUCGGGAAACCGAGGCUAAUACCGCAUAACACCUACGGGUCAAAGGAGCAAUUCGCUUAAGGAGGGGGUCGCGGCAGAUUAGUUAGUUGGCGGGGUAAUGGCCCACCAAGACGGUGAUCUGUAUCCGGCCUGAGAGGGCGCACGGACACACUGGAACUGAAACACGGUCCAGACUCCUACGGGAGGCAGCAGUGGGGAAUUUUGCGCAAUGGGGGAAACCCUGACGCAGCAACGCCGCGUGGAGGAUGAAGUCCCUUGGGACGUAAACUCCUUUCGAUCGGGACGAUUAUGACGGUACCGGAAGAAGAAGCCCCGGCUAACUUCGUGCCAGCAGCCGCGGUAAUACGAGGGGGGCGAGCGUUGUUCGGAAUUAUUGGGCGUAAAGGGCGCGUAGGCGGCUGGAUAAGUCUUGUGUGAAAUCUUCGGGCUCAACUCGAAGUCUGCACAGGAAACUAUCCGGCUUGAGUGUGGGAGAGGUGAGUGGAAUUCCUGGUGUAGCGGUGAAAUGCGUAGAUAUCAGGAGGAACACCUGUGGCGAAAGCGGCUCACUGGACCACAACUGACGCUGAGGCGCGAAAGCUAGGGGAGCAAACAGGAUUAGAUACCCUAGUAGUCC